This 1043-nucleotide ribosomal RNA is filed under the name uncultured bacterium. RNAcentral describes it as "bacterial SSU rRNA". It matches the Rfam family "Bacterial small subunit ribosomal RNA", at positions 9 to 1048 of the family's 1533-position model. The record is from RNAcentral.
GAGUUUGAUUCCUGGCUCAGAUUUGAACGCUGGCGGCAUGCUUUACACAUGCAAGUCGGACGGCAGCACAGAGAAGCUUGCUUCUUGGGUGGCGAGUGGCGAACGGGUGAGUAACAUAUCGGAACGUACCGAGCAGUGGGGGAUAACUAAUCGAAAGAUUAGCUAAUACCGCAUAUUUUCUGAGGAAGAAAGCAGGGGACCAUUUGGCCUUGCGCUGUUUGAGCGGCCGAUAUCUGAUUAGCUAGUUGGUGGGGUAAAGGCCUACCAAGGCGACGAUCAGUAGCGGGUCUGAGAGGAUGAUCCGCCACACUGGGACUGAGACACGGCCCAGACUCCUACGGGAGGCAGCAGUGGGGAAUUUUGGACAAUGGGCGCAAGCCUGAUCCAGCCAUGCCGCGUGUCUGAAGAAGGCCUUCGGGUUGUAAAGGACUUUUGUCAGGGAAGAAAAGGGCGGGGUUAAUACCCCUGUCUGAUGACGGUACCUGAAGAAUAAGCACCGGCUAACUACGUGCCAGCAGCCGCGGUAAUACGUAGGGUGCGAGCGUUAAUCGGAAUUACUGGGCGUAAAGCGGGCGCAGACGGUUACUUAAGCAGGAUGUGAAAUCCCCGGGCUCAACCUGGGAACUGCGUUCUGAACUGGGUGACUAGAGUGUGUCAGAGGGAGGUAGAAUUCCACGUGUAGCAGUGAAAUGCGUAGAGAUGUGGAGGAAUACCGAUGGCGAAGGCAGCCUCCUGGGAUAACACUGACGUUCAUGCCCGAAAGCGUGGGUAGCAAACAGGAUUAGAUACCCUGGUAGUCCACGCCCUAAACGAUGUCGAUUAGCUGUUGGGCAGCAUGACUGCUUAGUAGCGAAGCUAACGCGUGAAAUCGACCGCCUGGGGAGUACGGUCGNCAGAUUAAACUCAAGGGAAUUGACGGGGACCCGCACAGCGGUGGAUGAUGUGGAUUAUUCGAUGCACGGCGAGAACUUUACUGGGUCUGACUGUACGGAACCUCCAAAAACGGAGGGGUGCCUUUCGGAGCGGUACCAGGUGCUGCAUGG